This 77-nucleotide transfer RNA is filed under the name Candidatus Doudnaibacteriota bacterium. RNAcentral describes it as "Candidatus Doudnabacteria bacterium tRNA-Val". It matches the Rfam family "tRNA". From Rfam's summary of the family: Transfer RNA (tRNA) molecules are approximately 80 nucleotides in length. Their secondary structure includes four short double-helical elements and three loops (D, anti-codon, and T loops). Further hydrogen bonds mediate the characteristic L-shaped molecular structure. tRNAs have two regions of fundamental functional importance: the anti-codon, which is responsible for specific mRNA codon recognition, and the 3' end, to which the tRNAs corresponding amino acid is attached (by aminoacyl-tRNA synthetases). tRNAs cope with the degeneracy of the genetic code in two manners: having more than one tRNA (with a specific anti-codon) for a particular amino acid; and 'wobble' base-pairing, i.e. permitting non-standard base-pairing at the 3rd anti-codon position. The record is from RNAcentral. Lineage: Bacteria; Candidatus Doudnaibacteriota.
GGAUCCGUAGCUCAGUUGGUUAGAGCGCGCCGUUCACAUCGGCGAGGUCACUGGUUCGAGCCCAGUCGGGUCCACCA